UUGACCUCGGAUCAGGUAGGAAUACCCGCUGAACUUAAGCAUAUCAAUAAGCGGAGGAAAAAACUCUGCCAUGUUUUUUUCCAAACAAAAAAAUUUAAUCUGGGGGGUCUGCCACCAAGAGAUAUUUAAUGCUCUUUAACUAUGAUCUGAAGUCAAGUGGGACUACCCGCUGAACUUAAGCAUAUAUAAGCGGGAGGAAA
RNAcentral lists this ribosomal RNA (200 nucleotides) under Fusarium sp. CB-3. RNAcentral's name for it is "partial 28S ribosomal RNA". Lineage: Eukaryota; Fungi; Ascomycota; Sordariomycetes; Hypocreales; Nectriaceae. The record is from RNAcentral.